This is a long non-coding RNA of Pecten maximus, 2315 nucleotides long. RefSeq lists it as uncharacterized. The transcript has 2 exons. Lineage: Eukaryota; Metazoa; Mollusca; Bivalvia; Pectinida; Pectinidae. The record is from RefSeq and is a predicted model, not a curated record.
GGCCGGUUGAACCACAUGUCAAUAAAUAUUCUGACGGAAACUUGUGUCUUGUACGGCAGAGAGGCCGGCUUCCAUUGACUGACCGAUGGCUGGCGUUCAGGGAGCUAGAUAUUAAAUGUCAAAAUGGGAUAAUUUAUGUUCCUUUUUGACCGCGAAACUGACUGUUCGUGAAGAAUUGCCUUGUGAAUUUUACUUUGCAAGAUGGCGUCUGCUCGACAUGUCGAUGGUUCGGACAAAAUGUUUAGCGCUUAAAGGACACACGGACAGCGACAAGAAAGCGAAUAAACGGGCGUAUAAUAGGAGUUAGAAGGAUUACUUCAUCGGCGUGCCGUGUGGAAUAGGAGACAAAUCGGUCGGUUGUGGCCUGACGGACGUGUGAAUGAACGAACCACUCCAGGUAUUGGGUACAACACAAAGCUAGCGAUUUAGCCAAGAAUACGAAUUUAGACCCAUUACAACGUGAGUACAGGUGGUCUCAUUUACCGCACCAGUCACAGGAAUGGUAUUACAUCCAUGGCGAUUUUCUUAUUUAGUUAUCAGAUAAAUAUUUGUUGAUGUAAACUUAUACAAUACUAUAUUAAUUUUACGGUAUGAUUUAAAUCUAUUUCAUCAUAAUUCUAUUUUGAAUCACAGUGCAUAAUGUGCACGCUGCAUUUAUUCUUCUUGAUGUAUGUAUAGUGAUCAGUAGAUUAUGUUAACCAUUUUCAGAGUCGAUGUUUGAUUUUCUGAUCAUGCGUGUAGUUUAUUUACGAUAUAAAAAUCAUAUUUACUUCUUCAAAAUGCAGUAUCAAGAACUGCAUCAAUUUCAUCCAGUCAAACGUUAUAAGAAUGUGAAUUUCAAAUUUAUAUUAAUGAAUCAUUGUAUUAAGAUAUAUAUUGAAAUUGAUCAUUUAUCUGUCUGCUUCGGGUAAUGAUAAUAUGUUUUCAUUAUGCUUUCUGCCAUUUAACCGUGUGAUGAUAUCAGCUUGGUCUCAUAAAUAAUGUUAUGUUUACGCAGUUAAAUAUACGGAAAUUAAAAAAGAAAACCUGUAAUAGAAUAUUUGAUGUUUUCACUGUGGCCAUUUUUCAAAAGAAUUGUAAAUAUGCUAAAAGACUAAAUCACUGCAAAAAUAACCAAAUUAUUCUUGAUACCUUCUUAUCAAACUUAAGUCGCUAGAAAUUAGAGAUCGUCAUAGCUUAGAUGUAUUUAUAUGCAAUAUUUUUUUGGGAUCAAUUUAGAAUUGGAAUUGCCGUUAAGCUUAAAUGGCGGUAUUUUGUGUCUUUUUGAAUUGAAGGCCCACCUUUCUACCAAUAUUUAAUUUAUGUUUGUAAUUUUACCAAUUUAGAGGAAAAUUAAAUUUUAGGAGUGGAAUAUAGAGUUCGGAAUAUUGAGAUUUUAUUUUAUUCAGAUAUAACGGCCGGCACAAAUCGUUUUAUACUUCUACAACGUUACCUUACGUAUUAUUGUUAUCGAUAUAUAUAUGAUAUAUAUUCAGUAUACAUAGACACGGACAGGUUAAAACUAUAGAUACCCUGGACGUGGUACAAUUAAUAAAAAAAUAAUUCUAUAAUAUCAAUGAAUUGCAAAACGAAAAAAACACAAACAAAAACCAUACCCCCCCCGUGCCAAAAAAAGCCCAACAAAAAACAAAAAAUCUUAAUACCAAGACUCAUUUCCAUCAUAUAGAGGUAUUUUAAAUCGAAUCAUUCUUUGCCGAUCUAGGAUGUUACAUAUGGAAAUACGAUUGGAAUAAUGGUAAUUUAUCAUACCGGACAUUAUCUAUCAAAAGCAAUUAUAUUCCUCUCCUUUGACAAAGCGUUUUAGUCUCUGAAAUAUCAACUUUGACAUUCCGCAACGAUACCUAAAUAGAUAUGAUUAUGUAUACGUGAAAUGUAAUGUUUCAUUUUAAGGUGAGAUGUGAAUCUGUACAUUUGUUACACUUAAAUAACAUACCAUACAUGUUAAAUCUAUUGAAAAGCAAACUCUUUCUUGAUAGUUAUUAUAAAUCACUGAACAUUAUGUACCUUUCGUUAACUUAUAGCGAACAAAAAAUACAACCUUAAACUGAUAUUAUACCAUUGUUAUAGUGUUUUGUCAAAUGUUUUUGGUAAAUAUGGUGAAUAAACAUUUAUUAUGAGCUGUGUGUGAUAUGUAUAAAAAACGUGAUUAGUGAAAAACUCUACUUUGUGUGCAAUAUGUGUUAAAAAGUUAUUCAGAUCAGAAGGGCGCAUGUCGUUUCACACCGUUGAUUAAAUUGACAUUGGUAUAUAAUUAAUUGCUAUUUGUGCUUUAUCCGAAAUGGCAAAUAUCAAUAAACAUAUCUUAAAGAAAAUAA